GACGAACGCUGGCGGCGGGCUUAACACAUGCAAGUCGAACGGAAAGGCCCUGCUUUUGUGGGGUUCUCGAUGGGCGAACGGGUGAGUAACACGUGAGUAACCUGCCCUUGACUUUGGGAUAACUUCAGGAAACUGGGGCUAAUACCGUAUAGCAUCUCCCGCUGCAUGGAGGGGGUUGGAAAGUUUCGGCGGUUGGGGAUGGACGCGCGGCUUAUCAGCUAGUUGGUGGGGUAGUGGCUUACCAAGGCUUUGACCGGUAGCCGGCCUGAGAGGGUGACCGGCCACAUUGCGACUGAGAUACGGACCAGACUCCUACGGGAGGCAGCAGUGGCGAAUCUUGCCCAAUGGGCGGAAGCCUGAUGCGGCAACGCUGCGUGCGGGAUGACGGCCUUCGGGUUGUAAACCGCUUUCGCCUGUGACGAAGCGUGAGUGACGGUAAUGGGUAAAGAAGCACCGGCUAACUACGUG
RNAcentral lists this ribosomal RNA (468 nucleotides) under uncultured bacterium. RNAcentral's name for it is "partial 16S ribosomal RNA". It matches the Rfam family "Bacterial small subunit ribosomal RNA", at positions 28 to 507 of the family's 1533-position model. The record is from RNAcentral.